This 434-nucleotide ribosomal RNA is filed under the name uncultured Ruminococcus sp. Its description in RNAcentral is "bacterial SSU rRNA". It matches the Rfam family "Bacterial small subunit ribosomal RNA", at positions 341 to 792 of the family's 1533-position model. Lineage: Bacteria; Bacillati; Bacillota; Clostridia; Eubacteriales; Oscillospiraceae. The record is from RNAcentral.
ACGGGAGGCAGCAGUGGGGAAUAUUGCACAAUGGGGGAAACCCUGAUGCAGCGAUGCCGCGUGGAGGAAGAAGGUUUUCGGAUUGUAAACUCCUGUCUUAAAGGACGAUAAUGACGGUACUUUAGGAGGAAGCUCCGGCUAACUACGUGCCAGCAGCCGCGGUAAUACGUAGGGAGCGAGCGUUGUCCGGAAUUACUGGGUGUAAAGGGAGCGUAGGCGGGAUUGCAAGUCAGAUGUGAAAUAUGCCGGCUCAACUGGCAGACUGCAUUUGAAACUGCGGUUCUUGAGUGAAGUAGAGGUAAGCGGAAUUCCUAGUGUAGCGGUGAAAUGCGUAGAUAUUAGGAGGAACAUCAGUGGCGAAGGCGGCUUACUGGGCUUUAACUGACGCUGAGGCUCGAAAGCGUGGGGAGCAAACAGGAUUAGAUACCCUGGUA